UACGUAGGGGGCGAGCGUUAUCCGGAUUUACUGGGUGUAAAGGGAGCGUAGACGGUUUUUCAAGUCUGAAGUGAAAGCCCGCGGCUCAACUGCGGAACGGCUUUGGAAACUGAGGGACUAGAGUGCUGGAGGGGCAGGCGGAAUUCCUGGUGUAGCGGUGAAAUGCGUAGAUAUAUGGAAGAACACCAGUGGCGAAGGCGGCCGCCUGGCCUGUUGCUGACGCUGAGGCACGAAAGCGUGGGGAGCAAAUAGG
Molecule: ribosomal RNA, 253 nt
Filed under: uncultured Lachnospiraceae bacterium
Lineage: Bacteria; Bacillati; Bacillota; Clostridia; Lachnospirales; Lachnospiraceae
Description: partial 16S ribosomal RNA
Rfam family: Bacterial small subunit ribosomal RNA
Source: RNAcentral